This 465-nucleotide ribosomal RNA is filed under the name uncultured bacterium. Its description in RNAcentral is "partial 16S ribosomal RNA". It matches the Rfam family "Bacterial small subunit ribosomal RNA", at positions 339 to 795 of the family's 1533-position model. The record is from RNAcentral.
CUACGGGUUGCAGCAGUGAGGAAUUUUGCGCAAUGGGGGGAACCCUGACGCAGCAACGCCGCGUGAGUGAUGAAGGCUUUCGGGUCGUAAAGCUCUGUCAAGUGGGAAGAACCUAUGCAGUGUUAAUAUCACUGUAUACUGACGGUACCACUGAAGGAAGCACCGGCUAACUCCGUGCCAGCAGCCGCGGUAAUACGGGGGGUGCAAGCGUUAUUCGGAAUCAUUGGGCGUAAAGGGCACGUAGGCGGCUUGGUAAGUCAGAUGUGAAAGCACGGGGCUUAACCCCGGAAGUGCAUUUGAUACUGUCAGGCUUGAGUAUGGGAGAGGGAAGUGGAAUUGCUGGUGUAGAGGUGAAAUUCGUAGAUAUCAGGAGGAACACCGGUGGCGAAGGCGACUUCCUGGACCAAUACUGACGCUGAGGUGCGAAGGCGUGGGUAGCAAACAGGAUUAGAUACCCUCGUAGUC